GAUGAACGCUGGCGGCGUGCCUAAUACAUGCAAGUCGGGCGAACGGACGAGAAGCUUGCUUCUCUGAUGUUAGCGGCGGACGGGUGAGUAACACGUGGAUAACCUACCUAUAAGACUGGGAUAACUUCGGGAAACCGGAGCUAAUACCGGAUAAUAUUUUGAACCGCAUGGUUCAAAAGUGAAAGACGGUCUUGCUGUCACUUAUAGAUGGAUCCGCGCUGCAUUAGCUAGUUGGUAAGGUAACGGCUUACCAAGGCAACGAUGCAUAGCCGACCUGAGAGGGUGAUCGGCCACACUGGAACUGAGACACGGUCCAGACUCCUACGGGAGGCAGCAGUAGGGAAUCUUCCGCAAUGGGCGAAAGCCUGACGGAGCAACGCCGCGUGAGUGAUGAAGGUCUUCGGAUCGUAAAACUCUGUUAUUAGGGAAGAACAUAUGUGUAAGUAACUGUGCGCAUCUUGACGGUACCUAAUCAGAAAGCCACGGCUAACUACGUG
Molecule: ribosomal RNA, 497 nt
Filed under: uncultured bacterium
Lineage: Bacteria
Description: partial 16S ribosomal RNA
Rfam family: Bacterial small subunit ribosomal RNA
Source: RNAcentral